RNAcentral lists this ribosomal RNA (789 nucleotides) under uncultured bacterium. RNAcentral's name for it is "bacterial SSU rRNA". It matches the Rfam family "Bacterial small subunit ribosomal RNA", at positions 553 to 1340 of the family's 1533-position model. The record is from RNAcentral.
AUUGGGCGUAAAGAGCUCGUAGGCGGUGUGUCGCGUCGGCCGUGAAAACUUGGGGCUUAACUCUGAGCGUGCGGUCGAUACGGGCAUCACUUGAGUUCGGCAGGGGAGACUGGAAUUCCUGGUGUAGCGGUGAAAUGCGCAGAUAUCAGGAGGAACACCGGUGGCGAAGGCGGGUCUCUGGGCCGAUACUGACGCUGAGGAGCGAAAGCGUGGGGAGCGAACAGGAUUAGAUACCCUGGUAGUCCACGCCGUAAACGUUGGGCGCUAGGUGUGGGGACCAUUCCACGGUUUCUGUGCCGCAGCUAACGCAUUAAGCGCCCCGCCUGGGGAGUACGGCCGCAAGGCUAAAACUCAAAGGAAUUGACGGGGGCCCGCACAAGCGGCGGAGCAUGUGGAUUAAUUCGAUGCAACGCGAAGAACCUUACCUGGGUUUGACAUGCACAGGAUCGCGGCAGAGAUGUCGUUUCCCUUGUGGCCUGUGUGCAGGUGGUGCACGGCUGUCGUCAGCUCGUGUCGUGAGAUGUUGGGUUAAGUCCCGCAACGAGCGCAACCCUUGUUCCAUGUUGCCAGCACGUAGUGGUGGGGACUCAUGGGAGACUGCCGGGGUCAACUCGGAGGAAGGUGGGGAUGACGUCAAGUCAUCAUGCCCCUUAUGUCCAGGGCUUCACACAUGCUACAAUGGCUCAUACAGAGGGCUGCGAGACCGUGAGGUGGAGCGAAUCCCUUAAAGUGAGUCUCAGUUCGGAUCGGGGUCUGCAACUCGACCCCGUGAAGUUGGAGUCGCUAGUA